Manis pentadactyla (Chinese pangolin) is the source of this 118-nucleotide small nucleolar RNA. RefSeq annotates it as small nucleolar RNA SNORD22. The transcript has a single exon. The record is from RefSeq and is a predicted model, not a curated record. NCBI's taxonomy places the organism in Eukaryota, Metazoa, Chordata, Mammalia, Pholidota, Manidae.
UGCCAGAUGAAAUAGAGAAUGCCUCGUUAAUGGUGAAUCAGAUCUGUGAAGGUGAACCCUCUGGGACUGGCUGUGGGAGAAGAGGGGCAUUUGCUCCAGAAGGAACUGUCUGAGGGAU